CAGCUAGUUGGUGGGGUAAAGGCCCACCAAGGCGACGAUCAGUAGCUGGUCUGAGAGGACGAUCAGCCACACUGGGACUGAGACACGGCCCAGACUCCUACGGGAGGCAGCAGUGGGGAAUUUUGGACAAUGGGGGCAACCCUGAUCCAGCAAUGCCGCGUGUGUGAAGAAGGCCUUCGGGUUGUAAAGCACUUUUGUCCGGAAAGAAAUCGCACUUACUAAUAUUAGGUGUGGAUGACGGUACCGGAAGAAUAAGGACCGGCUAACUACGUGCCAGCAGCCGCGGUAAUACGUAGGGUCCAAGCGUUAAUCGGAAUUACUGGGCGUAAAGCGUGCGCAGGCGGUUGUGCAAGACCGAUGUGAAAUCCCCGGGCUUAACCUGGGAAUUGCAUUGGUAACUGCACGGCUAGAGUGUGUCAGAGGGGGGUAGAAUUCCACGUGUAGCAGUGAAAUGCGUAGAGAUGUGGAGGAAUACCGAUGGCGAAAGCAGCCCCC
RNAcentral lists this ribosomal RNA (495 nucleotides) under uncultured beta proteobacterium. Its description in RNAcentral is "SSU rRNA". It matches the Rfam family "Bacterial small subunit ribosomal RNA", at positions 242 to 729 of the family's 1533-position model. Lineage: Bacteria; Pseudomonadati; Pseudomonadota; Betaproteobacteria. The record is from RNAcentral.